Molecule: ribosomal RNA, 305 nt
Filed under: uncultured bacterium
Lineage: Bacteria
Description: bacterial SSU rRNA
Rfam family: Bacterial small subunit ribosomal RNA
Source: RNAcentral
GAGUCCCUACGGGGCGCAGCAGUGAGGAAUAUUGGUCAAUGGGCGGGAGCCUGAACCAGCCAAGUCGCGUGAGGGAAGACGGUCCUAUGGAUUGUAAACCUCUUUAGGCGGGGAGCAAUGCCGGGCACGCGUGCCCGGAGGGAGAGUACCCGCAGAAUAAGCAUCGGCUAACUCCGUGCCAGCAGCCGCGGUAAUACGGAGGAUGCGAGCGUUAUCCGGAUUUAUUGGGUUUAAAGGGUGCGCAGGCGGGGGAUCAAGUCAGCGGUAAAAUGUCGGGGCUCAACCCCGGCCGGCCGUUGGAACUG